GUAUUGUUGUUAAUGCAGGAGGACGUAAAUUCAAGUGCGGUCAAGUGCAUUAUCCUCCUAUUUAUGGGUAAGGGAGAGACUAUGCGUAGUUCUAAGCAUCGUGUCAAAAAGAGUUGAUAUAAUAAAAACCUAACAAUAGCUUAAAAUGGUAGUUAACACUUCGUUGGCUAAGGAGCAAAAGUAAGAAUCUGCCUAAGGAGGGGCUCAUGUCUAAUUAGCUAGUUGGUGAGACAAUAGUUUACCAAGGCGAUGAUCAGUAGCUACUCUGAGAGGAUGAUCAGCCACACUAGGACUCAGCCAUGGUUUAUACAAAUGAUGUAAGCGUUAUCCGAAAUGAUUGGGCUUAAAGCAUCCGUAGGUGGCUUUUUAAGUCUGUCGUCAAAUCCCAAUGCUUAACCCUGGUUAGGCGGUGGAAACUACCAAGCUCGAGUACAAUAAAGGUAGAGGAAAUUUCCGAUGGAGCGUCAAAAUGCAUAGAGAUAAAAAAGAACACCAAUGACGAAUUACGAGUGAAAGAGAAAAUCUAAAGAUUUCCAUUAUAGCAGCC
This 547-nucleotide non-coding RNA is filed under the name Gossypium arboreum. Its description in RNAcentral is "Bacterial small subunit ribosomal RNA". It matches the Rfam family "Bacterial small subunit ribosomal RNA", at positions 69 to 724 of the family's 1533-position model. The record is from Rfam by way of RNAcentral. Lineage: Eukaryota; Viridiplantae; Streptophyta; Magnoliopsida; Malvales; Malvaceae.